RNAcentral lists this ribosomal RNA (253 nucleotides) under uncultured bacterium. RNAcentral's name for it is "partial 16S ribosomal RNA". It matches the Rfam family "Bacterial small subunit ribosomal RNA", at positions 524 to 776 of the family's 1533-position model. The record is from RNAcentral.
UACAGAGGGUGCAAGCGUCAAUCGGAAUUACUGGGCGUAAAGCGUGCGUAGGUGGAUACCUAAGUCGAAUGUGAAAUCCCCGGGCUUAACCUGGGAUCUGCAUCCGAUACUGGGUAUCUGGAGUAUGGUAGAGGAAAGUGGAAUUCCCGGUGUAGCGGUGAAAUGCGUAGAUAUCGGGAGGAACAUCAGUGGCGAAGGCGACUUUCUGGACCAAUACUGACACUGAGGCACGAAAGCGUGGGGAGCAAACAGG